CCUACGGGUGGCAGCAGUGAGGAAUAUUGGUCAAUGGGCGAGAGCCUGAACCAGCCGAGUCGCGUGAAGGAUGACGGCCCUACGGGUUGUAAACUUCUUUUGUCAGGGAGCAAUUGGGUCCACGCGUGGGCUUAGCGAGAGUACCUGAAGAAAAAGCAUCGGCUAACUCCGUGGCAGCAGCUGCGGUAAUACGGAGGCUGCUAGCGUUACCCGGAUUUAUUGGGAUUAAAGGGUGCGUAGGCGGAAUAUCAAGUCAGCGGUAAAAAUUCGGGGCUCAACCCCGUCGUGCCGUUUAGACUGAUGUUCUUGAGUGGGCGAGAAGUAUGCGGAAUGCGUGGUGUAGCGGGGAAAUGCAUAGAAAUCACGCAGAACUCCGAUUGCGAAGGCAGCAUACCGGCGCCCAACUGACGCUGAAGCACGAAAGCGUGGGGAGCAAACAGGAGUAGAUACCCCUGUAGUC
RNAcentral lists this ribosomal RNA (460 nucleotides) under uncultured bacterium. RNAcentral's name for it is "partial 16S ribosomal RNA". It matches the Rfam family "Bacterial small subunit ribosomal RNA", at positions 338 to 795 of the family's 1533-position model. The record is from RNAcentral.